ACAUGAAGUUAAUUUUACUUUUGUUGUCGUUCUCACCUAAAAUCUCCAUCUUCACCAGUGACUAAAAAUGAAAAGAAUGAUAAGAUGACGUUGUCCUGCUCUGUGCCGUCUCAUGGAUGGUGUUUACACAGAGUGAAGUGGCUGUAUGAGGGUCAACAUGUGGAUGGAAACAACAAAGACAUGGAGACAUCUGUGUCUGAGUGCUCAGUUACUGUGACAUUUCUUGCCUCUUAUCUCAAGCAGAAGUCAAAGUUUCAUGAGUUGUUCAAGUGUGAAGUGACUAAUACUAACAGUAACAAAUCGCAGCUGUUAACUUUCAGCCGUCACUCCUCAGGUGAGAAUAUGAUGAGCUGUUUAAAAUCACUUCAAACUGAUAAGUAAUUACACAAAAUGUUUGUUUUUGAUCUGAUUUGAGGUUUUACUAUCACAUCAUUCUGUGCCAUUUGUAUUGUGCAGAUGCUUAUGUUUGUAAGAUGCUCAUGUUCAUCGCUUUUAUUUAUUUAAUUUGUUAAGGUAAGGCUGCAACAGCAGCUACAAUAUCAACAACAACAAUUAAAUCAACAUCGACAACAGAAAAUAAAUGGACAUCAGUGAAAACGAGCACAUCUGAAGGGACAAACAAAACAGCAUCUAAGAAUAAUGAAACAAAACAAGUAUGGUGGCCGUUCAUCGUUGCUUUGUCAGCACUCUUGAUAAUCGUUCUGGUUGUCAUCAGAUGGAAGAGAACUAAAGGGAACAAAAGACAGAUGGAUGAAAACAUGG
Long non-coding RNA from Morone saxatilis (striped sea-bass), 762 nucleotides. RefSeq lists it as uncharacterized. The transcript is spliced from 3 exons. The record is from RefSeq and is a predicted model, not a curated record. Lineage: Eukaryota; Metazoa; Chordata; Actinopteri; Moronidae.